AUUGAACGCUGGCGGCAUGCCUAACACAUGCAAGUCGAACGGAAACGAUGGGAGCUUGCUCCCAGGCGUCGAGUGGCGGACGGGUGAGUAAUACUUAGGAAUCUGCCCAGUAGUGGGGGACAACCCGGGGAAACCCGGGCUAAUACCGCGUAAUCUCUACGGAGGAAAGAGGCCGUCUUCUUGAAAGCUCUCGCUAUUGGAUGAGCCUAAGUCGGAUUAGCUUGUUGGUGGGGUAAGGCCUACCAAGGCGACGAUCCGUAGCUGGUCUGAGAGGACGAUCAGCCACACUGGGACUGAGACACGGCCCA
RNAcentral lists this ribosomal RNA (308 nucleotides) under uncultured bacterium. Its description in RNAcentral is "bacterial SSU rRNA". It matches the Rfam family "Bacterial small subunit ribosomal RNA", at positions 30 to 333 of the family's 1533-position model. The record is from RNAcentral.